RNAcentral lists this ribosomal RNA (422 nucleotides) under uncultured bacterium. RNAcentral's name for it is "partial 16S ribosomal RNA". It matches the Rfam family "Bacterial small subunit ribosomal RNA", at positions 360 to 774 of the family's 1533-position model. The record is from RNAcentral.
AAUCUUCCACAAUGGGUGCAAACCUGAUGGAGCAAUGCCGCGUGAAUGAAGAAGGUCUUCGGAUCGUAAAGUUCUGUUAUUAGAGAAGAACAAGUCAAGGCGACACUGUCUUGACUUUGACGGUACUUAACCAGAAAGUCACGUCUAACUACGUGCAAGCAGCCGCGGUAAGACGUAGGUGACAAGAGUUGUCCGGAACUAUUGGGCGGAAAGGGAGACGAGUGGGUUGGAAUAGUCUGGUAUGAAAGCCCACGGCUUAACCGUGGAAGGUCAUUGGAAACUGUCCAACUUGAAUGCAGAAGAGGUAAGUGGAAUUCCAUGUGUAGCGGUGAAAUGCGUAGAUAUAUGGAGGAACGCCAGAGGCGAAGGCGACUUACUGGUCUGUGAUUGACGCUGAGGCUCGAAAGCGUGGGUAGCGAACA